GGGCUAUGGUGUUUAAAUACAUGAUCAUGCCAUCAUGGGGUAUCUGGUUCAGGUAACUGCAGUUAGAACACGAUCCUUACCGUCGUUUUGCAUCAUCGCCUACGUCCAGGUGCGAUACCUGUUUUUCUGCGAGCGCCGCCCACACACCGUCUCCCCGUCCUUUUGAGAAGCACACACAGGCACACGAUCUUGUCUCGACACGCCCCCUCUCACUGAAUCGCAAACUUGUUUGCAAAAAAAAAAAAGGGGAAAGGAGUCCCGGAUUUUCCGUGGACCGUUGUCAGCGUGUGGGGCCGGUGGACGCGGGAUUGUGACACCGCGCGCCGGGAGGCGGUACUAACUCGGAAUGCGGGGGAAGAAAAGUUCUAUAAAAAUUGUCCAGAGUCUGGGGAGAGCGACACAAACGUCGUCUGGUUCCCUGCGGAGAUCGGCGGCUCGCUUCCCCAGAAGCACACUCUUCCCCGGGAGCGAUCCACACACACACAAGACAAGGCCGACAUGGGGCGGCACGAGCGGCAGAGCAACGAGGAGGACAGCGUGGUCCUGCAGGUGAAGCACGACCCCGCCGUGCUCGUGCUCAUGGACCACUGCAGGGAGAUGAAGAGGCAGGAGUGUCGCCUGCGCGUGGCCACUGCCUUCCUCCUGCUUGGAUGCGCGGCGCUCUUCUUAGUCUCCAGCCGCCUCGGGCGCCUGCCGUCGGACACGGUGAAACAUUCAGUAGAACCCAGAAUAGCUGAAUUUGGUGUGUCCCAGAGACAAACAAGUGAAUACCCUGUCAAGCCAAGUGCUCACUUAACAGCACCUUGUGCACUGUCCCAGCCUCAUGUCAUCCACUGGAACGACAACCAGGCCAUUAUCCAGGGCUUCAAGUACAAGGAGGGAGAGCUCAUUGUGCCGCAGUCGGGCAAAUACCACGUCUACCUGCAGAUCACCUUCCGGAAGCCUGAAAGUUACAACUGCAGCGAGGGUGACUUGUUCAUACCGCUGCGACCUGAGGUCAGAGUGUGGCAAGACAGCUACCCGGAAUACGUGCCCCUGAUGUCCGCCUCAGAUUAUCUGUCCUGCAAGGAGAUAUUUGAAAAGUCCAUCUAUACAGCUGGCAUGUAUGAUCUAGAGAAGAAUAGCAAACUGCAGGUUUGGUAUGGCGCAGAUAAGGAGCUGGCUGUUCAGACCGACGAGCAAAAAAUAUUCUUUGGUGCUUUCCUUGUUUAGAUAAGCUAUUAUGUUCAGACAUCAAAUUUGAAAAGGUAUUUUUUUUUUUUUUUACAGAGGUUUUAUUACUAUGAAUUUUUUAAAUUAUUUUAUUCAGUAUAGAUUUCAGGCUGGGUGUAAGAUCAGCAUUAUGGACAUAAAAUCAAAAGCAAAGUCCAGAUGUACCUGAUCUCAGUCUAGUGUCUUUGUCCACAAAAACUUCCUGUUAUGUCCAAGAGGGGCCCAGCACACGUUUUAUAUUAAAACUGUGCCUAUCUCAUCACUGUUACUAUGUAAAUUGGCUAUAUGUCCACACCUGGAGGGACAGUACUGAAGAUGUUUUAUUUAAUAAAGUGUUUUACUGGAUGGUCA
Long non-coding RNA from Scleropages formosus (Asian bonytongue), 1563 nucleotides. The record is from Ensembl. Lineage: Eukaryota; Metazoa; Chordata; Actinopteri; Osteoglossiformes; Osteoglossidae.